GAUGAACGCUAGCGGCAGGCCUAAUACAUGCAAGUCGAACGGUUGUAGUGAUACAAUAGUGGCGCACGGGUGCGUAACACGUAUGCAACCUACCUUAUAGACGGGGAUAGCCUUUGGAAACGGAGAUUAAUACCCGAUAGUAACCUUGAUUGGCAUCAAUUAAUGUUUAAAGAUUUAUCGCUAUAAGCUGGGCAUGCGUCCAAUUAGUUAGUUGGUUAGGUAAUGGCUGACCAAGACGAUGAUUGGUAGGGGAACUGAGAGGUUAAUCCCCCACACUGGCACUGAGAUACGGGCCAGACUCCUACGGGAGGCAGCAGUAGGGAAUAUUGGGCAAUGGAGGCGACUCUGACCCAGCCAUGCCGCGUGCAGGAUGAAGGCGUUAUGCGUUGUAAACUGCUUUUAUAUAGGAAGAAAUAAACCUUGCGAGGUAAGUUGACGGUACUAUAUGAAUAACCACCGGCUAACUCCGUGCCAACAUCCGCGGUAAUACGGAGGGUGCAAGCGUUGUCCGGAUUUAUUGGGUUUAAAGGGUGCGUAAGCGGUUUAUUAAGUCAGUGGUGAAAGACGAUCGCUCAACGAUUGCAGUGCCAUUGAUACUGGUAGACUUGAUUGAGAUUGAGGUAGCUGGAAAGGAUAGUGUAGCGGUGAAAUGCAUAGAUAUUAUCCAGAACACCAAUUGCAUACCGAGUUACUAAGUCUCCACUGACGCUGACGCACGAAAGUGUGGGUAUCAAACAGGAUUACAUACCCUGGUAGUCCACACUGUAAACGAUGAUAACUAACUGUUGGCUUUCUGGUCAGUGUACAUAGAAUUCGUUAAGUUAUCACCUGGGGAGUACGCCGGC
This 845-nucleotide ribosomal RNA is filed under the name uncultured bacterium. Its description in RNAcentral is "bacterial SSU rRNA". It matches the Rfam family "Bacterial small subunit ribosomal RNA", at positions 28 to 889 of the family's 1533-position model. The record is from RNAcentral.